GAAUAUGAAGCGAUGUAUCGCAUUUAGUUUCGACCUAGCCUUAGGUAAUUUUA
This 53-nucleotide transfer RNA is filed under the name Drosophila borealis. Its description in RNAcentral is "tRNA-Arg". Lineage: Eukaryota; Metazoa; Arthropoda; Insecta; Diptera; Drosophilidae. The record is from RNAcentral.